CCUACGGGUGGCAGCAGUGGGGGAUAUUGCACAAUGGGGGGAACCCUGAUGCAGCGACGCCGCGUGGGUGACGGAGCGUUUCGGCGUGUAAAGCCCUAUCGGCAAGGAAGAAGAUGACGGUACGUGACCAAGAAGCCCCGGCCAACUACGUGCCAGCAGCCCUGGUAACACGCAGGGGGGAGGCGUUAUCCGGAUUUACUGGGCGUAAAGGGGGCGUAGACGGCAAUGCAAGCCAGGAGUGAAAGUCCUGGGUCUAACCCCCGGACUGCUCUUGGAACUGCAUGGCUGGAGUAGAGGAGGGGCAGGCGGAAUGCGUAGUGUAGCGGUGAAAUGCGUAGAUAUUGGGAAGAACACCGGUGGCGAAGGCAGCCUACUGGA
This 378-nucleotide ribosomal RNA is filed under the name uncultured bacterium. RNAcentral's name for it is "partial 16S ribosomal RNA". It matches the Rfam family "Bacterial small subunit ribosomal RNA", at positions 338 to 733 of the family's 1533-position model. The record is from RNAcentral.